UUAACUGAAUCCAUAGGUUAAUGAGGCGAACCGGGGGAACUGAAACAUCUAAGUACCCCGAGGAAAAGAAAUCAACCGAGAUUCCCCCAGUAGCGGCGAGCGAACGGGGAGGAGCCCAGAGCCUGAAUCAGCAUGUGUGUUAGUGGAAGCGUCUGGAAAGGCGCGCGAUACAGGGUGACAGCCCCGUACACAAAAGCGCAUGUGUUGUGAGCUCGAUGAGUAGGGCGGGACACGUGGUAUCCUGUCUGAAUAUGGGGGGACCAUCCUCCAAGGCUAAAUACUCCUGACUGACCGAUAGUGAACCAGUACCGUGAGGGAAAGGCGAAAAGAACCCCGGCGAGGGGAGUGAAAAAGAACCUGAAACCGUGU
This 369-nucleotide ribosomal RNA is filed under the name Salmonella enterica subsp. enterica. Its description in RNAcentral is "partial 23S ribosomal RNA". It matches the Rfam family "Bacterial large subunit ribosomal RNA", at positions 154 to 561 of the family's 2925-position model. The record is from RNAcentral. Lineage: Bacteria; Pseudomonadati; Pseudomonadota; Gammaproteobacteria; Enterobacterales; Enterobacteriaceae.